Molecule: ribosomal RNA, 265 nt
Filed under: Pygoscelis adeliae (Adelie penguin)
Lineage: Eukaryota; Metazoa; Chordata; Aves; Sphenisciformes; Spheniscidae
Description: partial 16S ribosomal RNA
Source: RNAcentral
CUAAAACAUUCUUCUGCCUUAGUAUGGGCGACAGAAAAGGCCUACUGGCGCGAUAGAGAUCCGUACCGCAAGGGAAAGAUGAAAUAGUAAUGAAAACCCAAGCGAAAAACAGCAAAGAUAAACCCUUGUACCUCUUGCAUCAUGAUUUAGUAAGAACAACCAAGCAAAAUGAAUUUAAGCUUGCCACCCCGAAACCCGAGCGAGCUACUUACAAGCAGCUACCCCCUGAGCGAACCCGUCUCUGUUGCAAAAGAGUGGGAUGACU